RNAcentral lists this long non-coding RNA (274 nucleotides) under Elaeis guineensis (African oil palm). Its description in RNAcentral is "long non-coding RNA (EGUI_LNC017868)". Lineage: Eukaryota; Viridiplantae; Streptophyta; Magnoliopsida; Arecales; Arecaceae. The record is from RNAcentral.
AUUUCCACCAAGUGACUCAGGUUUGAGUUACGGUGGAGCUCGAGCUUCAAUUAAAUACUAAGAUAUGAAUAAUUGAGAGGGAGUGUACCCUGACGGUCUGGACACAAAAUUUGAAAGUGGCAGUUGGUCCUCUGACCCUCGAUGAUACUAGGAUGACGUACUCAUCUGUUAGGUUCGUCUAUAUAGUGGGAAAGAGGCCGCUCAUUCAUCUAAAUUCAACUCUGAAUCGAAUAUUCUUCAGUAAAGAUUGGGAUCUUAUGGUCACAUCUAGGGG